This 497-nucleotide ribosomal RNA is filed under the name uncultured bacterium. Its description in RNAcentral is "partial 16S ribosomal RNA". It matches the Rfam family "Bacterial small subunit ribosomal RNA", at positions 28 to 507 of the family's 1533-position model. The record is from RNAcentral.
GACGAACGCUGGCGGCGUGCCUAAUACAUGCAAGUCGAACGCUGAAGCUUGGUGCUUGCACCGAGCGGAUGAGUUGCGCACGGGUGAGUAACGCGUAGGUAACCUGCCUGGUAGCGGGGGAUAACUAUUGGAAACGAUAGCUAAUACCGCAUAACAGUAGAUAUCGCAUGAUAGCUACUUGAAAGGUGCAAAUGCACCACUACCAGAUGGACCUGCGUUGUAUUAGCUAGUUGGUGAGGUAACGGCUCACCAAGGCAACGAUACAUAGCCGACCUGAGAGGGUGGUCGGCCGCCCUGGGACGGUGACACGGCCCAGACGCCUACGGGAGGCAGCAGUAGGGAAUCUUCGGCAAUGGGCGGAAGUCUGACCGAGCAACGCCGCGUGAGUGAAGAAGGUUUUCGGAUCGUAAAGCUCGGUUGUAAGAGAAGAAAGAGUGUGAGAGUGGAAAGUUCACACUGUGACGGUAUCUUACCAGAAAGCGACGGCUAACUACGUG